UGGGGAAUACCGGCGAGAAAUCGCCGACAAUACCUCAUGGGCUCCCCGGCCAUGAAGCCGAGGGGCAAAGUUCGUCCCGUCGCAAGACGGGAGGGACGCGUGCUGAUGAGCCUGCGGCUGAUUAGCUGGCUGGUGGGGUAAUGGCCUACCAGGGCGAUGAUCAGUAGCUGGUCUGAGAGGACGAGCAGCCACACUGGGAUUGAGAACGGCCCAG
Molecule: ribosomal RNA, 214 nt
Filed under: uncultured bacterium
Lineage: Bacteria
Description: partial 16S ribosomal RNA
Rfam family: Bacterial small subunit ribosomal RNA
Source: RNAcentral